Molecule: ribosomal RNA, 478 nt
Filed under: uncultured bacterium
Lineage: Bacteria
Description: partial 16S ribosomal RNA
Rfam family: Bacterial small subunit ribosomal RNA
Source: RNAcentral
GACGAACGCUGGCGGCGUGCUUAACACAUGCAAGUCGAACGGUAAGGCCCUUCGGGGUACACGAGUGGCGAACGGGUGAGUAACACGUGGGUGAUCUGCCCUGCACUUCGGGAUAAGCCUGGGAAACUGGGUCUAAUACCGGAUAGGACCACUGCCUGCAUGGGUGGUGGUGGAAAGCUUUUGCGGUGUGGGAUGGGCCCGCGGCCUAUCAGCUUGUUGGUGGGGUGAUGGCCUACCAAGGCGACGACGGGUAGCCGGCCUGAGUGGGUGACCGGCCACACUGGGACUGAGAUACGGCCCAGACUCCUACGGGAGGCAGCAGUGGGGAAUAUUGCACAAUGGGCGCAAGCCUGAUGCAGCGACGCCGCGUGAGGGAUGACGGCCUUCGGGUUGUAAACCUGUUUCAGCACCGACGAAGCGCAAGUGACGGUAGGUGCAGAAGAAGGACCGGCCAACUACGUGCCAGCCGCCGCGGUAA